ACUUUCAACAUUUCUGCAAAGCUAGAGAAGGUAUCUUCUAAUUUAAAUUUCUUUAAGAAUUAUCUAUUGUGUAAUAUACUGUCAACAGGAGGUCAGUUUUAAAGGAAUACUACUGAUAGCCUGAAAGACUGUGGAAAAGAAAUUAUUUUUCCCCCUUACACACUGAUAGUUCUUGUAUUUGCAUUCCUGAAAUUCAUAUAUAUUUUUCAAAAAAAAAAAAAAACAUUGGAUUAGCAGCAAGAGAGUUGAAAAUGGCAGAAGUUGGGAAUGACUGCUAUUUCUUUUUUAAUUCCACAUGCAUAAAGGGUUCCCAGUGCCGAUUCCGACACUGUGAAGAGGCCCUUGGCAGUGACACUGUGUGCUCAUUAUGGAGAGAGAGGAAAUGUUUAGAUCCACUUUGCAGAUUUAGACACAUGGAAAUGCAGCAAAACUGCAGCAUUUCAUGCUUCUGGGAAACUCAGCCUCUUGGUUGUGUGAAGAUCAGCUGUAUCUUUUAUCACAGCAAACCUCGAAAUAUCAAUGGAUUAUUUUUGCCACCAAGCAGCAAUAUCACACUACAGAAAGAAAUUCAGGAAGGAAUUCCACUCCAGACCCAGAGUCAGGAACCUCUGAAACUUCAGGAAAAUAUAUCACGACCCAUCCACCAUCCUUUAGUUUUAAAAACUAAUUUUGAGGAAGAAGAGGAAGUAGAUGAACAAAAUGAUGCUUCUAGUUUAUGGACAAAGACUCCUGAAGAAAUUGAAGAAAAAAGAGCAAUAAAGGAGAUGUGUUAUAAAUCUGGGGAAUACUACAGAUUUCAUACUCCUCCAGAUAUUUUAUCGUCAAAAAGCAUGACCCCUACAGCAGAAAAAGAGUUAGAAAAGCCUUUGGAAAAUGGCAGUGAAUUGCAAGAAGGAGAUAGUCUUACAGUUCCGACAAAACUUAGCCAAUAUGAAAGGCAAGGUGAAAUAAAAACAUCAUUGCAUGGGAAACCAAAGACUGACAUUGCUGCUUUUGAAAAUGGAGGAGGUGACUGUUAUGUUCCACAGAGGGUCAUAUUUCUUGGAGUCGAUGAAAGUGAAGCUUUAACUGAAGAGAAAGAAAUCACCGUAUCAAAAUGUUCAAAUACUAAAGUGAAUGAUGUCCAGCCAGUGAAGAAGCCUCAUUUUAAAGGUGUGAAAAAAAGGAAAUGGAUUUAUGAUGAACCAAAGAACUUUCCUAACUCUGGAAUGCGGAGAGCAGUACAGGCCCCAAGACCCCAAAAUAAAAUGAGUUAUCACCGCAGUAAUAAAAAUCGAAAUGCUGAGAAUGCAUCCUAUAUCCACGUUCAAAGAGAUGCUGUCAGGACUGUCGCGUUGAAUGCACCUUCCCGCAGCAGGCCCAUGCAUGGGUCCUACAAUAAAGUCCAUGUUAACAAGGAACCCAAACCCAGCCUCAGUCCAGGUGAGGUCCUUUGUUGAUGUGGUUUACUCUUGUCUGUGGUUCGCAUUCCCAUGGAAUUUCCUGACAGCUUGGCUAAUCUUCACUACUACCUACUCCCCUCUUCUUUUCCCUGGCCAUCACCACCGUAGAAACUAGUGAGAGGAUUUCUUCCAUGUGCAGUCCUGCACAUGAUUUAAAGGAUAUGGAAGAAAACUCAUGUUGUGUGCAGAUGACUUCAGAUCGCACCUCCCUAGAGUUUUUUUCUCAGAGCACUGCACUUCGUUCCUCCAGGACAGCUUCAUGUCACUCUGGAGGAUUGUUUUUGAAUGGCUGAUAUUUUCUUGUUCCACUAACUGCAUUGUUCAAUUUUCACUGUCAGGCUAGUGCCUUGACUUUUCUGUAGGCCUUCAUGAUUAUUUUCUGAAAGGGUUGGUUUGGGGAUUAACUGCCAUAUUUUUGACAACCUCUCAUCUCUCUCACCAUGGAUAGAUUGCUUCUAAAUCAUUUCAUCAUGUAAUAGGCAAAGUCAUAGUAUAUGUCAGGAAGUACAAGGUUACAGGGGAGAAGAGAACCAAAUCUCUUUAUCUCUUUUUCUUCCUAUGUCUCAGAUGGAUUUUGUUCUUUUGAAGUUGGGUUUCAGUUCUCUAAACUUAAUAAAAUGCUGCUCAAUUCUAUAUGAUUUCAUGUUUGUAUUCUAAGUUCAUGGUUUAGUUAGUGGAGUUCUGAAUAUUUUGAACUUAUGGAAACAUAAGACUAUAUCUUUCUUAGUUUCUUUCAUAAUUUAAUAAAUUUUUUAAAAAGUUUAUGGGGACACAGUAGGUAUAUAUAUUUCUUUUACAAUUUAAAUAUACAUUAGCUUAUUUCAAUUAUUUUUCCUUUUGCUUUAAAAUAGAAUGAUACAUGGAUGUGUAUUUGUAAAUAAGGAUAUUAGGUGAAACUUGCUUUUAAUUUUAUUUAUUACUAUUAUCUUAUUUAUUGAUAUUGUUAUUGUUAUUAUUGUUUUACUGCAACUGGAUGGCUGUGAAGAAUACAAUGAAUACUAGAAGCAUUGCCAAUGUCUAGGUUUGUGUGAAGGUGCCAGAACUCAUACUCUAUAUUGCUUUUGCACCAUUAGUGCAAAUGUCAACACAAGAGAAAUGCAAAUUAUUGGUAUUACGGAUCAUGCUUUGAGAACACAGCUGCAUAGUAAUACUUGACAACACAAAUAUAACAUUGUUAGAUAGUAGUAGAAAUGUAGAUAUGUCAGAGAAAAAUAAGUAUUUAAGGACCAGGUGAGGAUAUAAAUGCUUUGACUAUCUGGGGCAGUGAGUUUGCUAUUGCAUCAUGCCAAUUACUGCGACCAUGGAAGUCACUUCAUGGAAGGACAUGGGACUUGGGCUGUACCUCAUAGUUUCACAGUUUUUAAAUAAAAGCUCUAAUAAACAUUAGCAGAACUUAUGCAAAACUAUGAUGAAGUGAUGCAGUGAAAAUUUUUAUUACAUUUAGAUAUCAUACUCUCCUGUAGCUUACCCUUAUUUUAAGCAUUGAAUAGCCAAUUAAGAAUCUGUAACC
This 2952-nucleotide small RNA is filed under the name Pongo abelii (Sumatran orangutan). Its description in RNAcentral is "retained intron". Lineage: Eukaryota; Metazoa; Chordata; Mammalia; Primates; Hominidae. The record is from RNAcentral.